This is a long non-coding RNA of Equus caballus (horse), 1703 nucleotides long. NCBI's taxonomy places the organism in Eukaryota, Metazoa, Chordata, Mammalia, Perissodactyla, Equidae. The record is from Ensembl.
AAGCAGGAAGAGAGAGAGCGAGUUUGUGUUUUUGGUGGGUGGGGGGAGGCAUGAAUGUCAGCACAAGCCAGUCCAGGGACAGCAAAGCUGUGAGAAGGAGAAAAGCUUGGAAUGUUCAAGAAACUGACAGCAAGCUAGUGUGGCUGGAGUGUGCUGAAGGAAGGGAGUGUCACCGAGGUAACAUUGGAGAGAUUUAAUAUUCCUCCCUCAAAAUGGACCAACCAUGAGGAUAUUUUCUCUACGUGUAACUGGGCAUGUUACUUUUCUGGGACACUCUAAAAUUGGGCCAUUUUUCCUUGCGUGGUGAAGAGAUGUUUGCUUUCCCAUAAUGAUUAGGAUUUUAGCUGCCUCUGGACAUUUCUGCCAAGUUGGAGCCUGUCACUCACCUGGAACAUCCCACACCGAAUGGAAAGGACACUCUAAAGCCAUGGAGUUUGAACAGACCCAGGGCUCUCUACCAUGAGCUGCCAGGGAGUGAGUAAUUCUGGCUUCGGAAAGGGCACAUUUGUAAAGCUAAAUUAAUACGUCCUGUUUUUCAUCCGUGACUUCUCUCUGUUUCCAGUUUCAAACAGCCAGCUGCCUUGGUUACAUGACCAUGCAAAAAAAAUUUGUGGAGGCACGCUUAUUUAUCGUCAAUCCCAGGAUGGACGCAACUCUUGAAACCCAUUCAAUCAGUACUGAUCCGGAUGUUCACAGGAGAGAAAGGAGAAAUAAAAUCCAUCCAUCUUACCUUUCUGAAUGGAAACCCUAAAGUUUCCAGCAGUCCCCAAAUCCGCUAUCUUUAUUCCCUGGGGGCAGAACAGUGAGGAUAUGAAAACCCCCAUUACAUCAGCUCCUUUCCAACAUUUUGGUUUUUCAUUUCACAUGAUAAGGUUGAAAAGGCCCAUUUGGCUGUUGUAAACUGCCUUUCCUCAUCAAAGGACUCCAAGACCAGAGUCUAUAAACAUAUAUGGACACUGCGUUUCAUUGUAAACCACUAGGAAAGAAAAAUGAAAUGAUAUCUAAACACCCAGCCCCUUUCCAAUCUUCCACUUUAUUGCCAUAACUGCAGGAAAUAGGUCUUUAGUCUCUGUUGAGAACAAAAAGCUGGCCAACCUCAAGUUUAAAGGCUUAUGUGGCCCCAGAGCAAAAUAUCCCAAAACUCCACCAAACCAAAUCCAAGGGUAACAAGAGCCCUGUUGUCGCAACUCCUAUAUUUACAAAAAUGGACAAACUGGGCCCCGCUGGGAGGCAUCUCCUUGUCUCCUAAUUAACGGUUUUACUUUCCUUUGACCGGUGGCCAGCUGCCCUGGGUAACCGCCAUGGCACAGGAGAGCUAAACAUUAACAAUUGGAAGUAAAGACGAGGCCAAUAAAACCAAAACAAGUUGCAGGAUGACCUGAGGACUGAAAGCACAUGUGCUGAUUUCUUCUCACCAAGGAGAAGUUGCCAGGCUGGGAACUUGGUGUCAUUCAUCCCAUGGCUUAUUGAUUAAAAGAAGCUUGUAACUGUCAGGCUCUUAAAGUCAAAAGGACAAACUCGCAAUCAGGCCAUGACCCAAAGCACACACAAGGUACUUCCUUAUUGGUAAAUCAGAAUCACAGUGAAGAGCCAGGUGACAGCAGCCAGCCGCACCACCUGGGAUCAUAGAGAAGAGAGGGCACUGGGGCCAUGGGUGUCCCACGUACAAGUUACAUAAAGAUAACACCGGCUCACAACUCCGG